AAAAAAAAAAAAAAAAGUAAGAUAAAAGAAUAAAAAAAUAUUAAUUUAACUCUCACACCUCUAACAUUUAUAUCAUUAACUUCCUGCUAUACAAAUAACAAAAAUGGAAGAACUCCAGUUUCACAACUAUACAAACAGACACCAAAAAAAAUAAUAAUAAUUUUUACUUGAACUAUAAUUCACCCGUAAGUCUAGCUCAAUCUGAACUUCACCUUUGGUAAAACAAAUAAGCCCUAUAUGCCUGGAUGUCACGACUCUGUGACAUCCCAAUAGUCUCAUUUCGAAUAAGAAUAAGAUUGCGAUUAGACAUACCAGACAUCAUGAAGAUUAGUAAUAAUAAUUAAAUUUAAGUACUUUAAGCAAAUGGUUUGAGCCCAACAAGUAAUUAUUACUAGCAAGUCGAGUCAUUACAGACUCAAUGUUGUGCAGUUCAUCGAUUUUAUACUUCCAAUUUUCACUCAGCUUCUUUUACUAGUAUAUAUAGAAAGAGAGAAAAGCCAAACAACUUUAUCAAACUUCAAAAGUUUAAGGACCAUAAUAAAAUUUGAAUCCAAGUUCCCUGCAAAAUAAGUACAAUAAUUAACAAAGUAGAAUCAAGGUAUUUUGUCACGCAUAAGCAAAUAUAAUUCUAUGAGUUUUAAGAACCAAAGUAGGACUAGAGAUUGAACACUCUAAUCAUGUAACAACCCCAGUGAUAAAUAAUCUUUUCAUACACAAAUCUAAUCCUUUACACUGAACCAAGAAACAAAAGAGUUCAGAGUAUAACUUAUGCAAGGUUGAAUCAAAUUUUCAACCAGUAUCAUUUAAACAAGCUCGUGGCACAUGAAAUUCGCAAAAUGUAAAAUUAUGCCGGUCUGGAGAUUAAUCUCUUGCACGAUCAUUAAUUUUUCACUAUACAAACUUGUACCAAGGUGCGAAUUUUAUAGCAUAGCCAUAAGAUAAUUAAAACUUCACAGGUCUAAAUGUUGGGUAGUUAAAGAACGAUUCAUGGCAAAGAUUCAUGGCAAAGUUCGGAUAGGCACUAAAUGGGCAAAGAUGUUCAAAGUUGUUCUAUGUAGAAUACCUCUGAUUGGAUACGGAUCACAUAGAGGUAUUCAUGGUGUAGUAUCCUUAUUUUAUUUUAUUUUUUUUUAUUUAUUUACUUAGUCGGUUGAUGAUGCAUGGGGGUGGUUUUGGAUGCCACGUGCACCCCCAUGCAUCAUUAUCUUGUGGCCUAUUUAGCUAUGAGAGACAGUGAGGGAUAUUGAUGUUUUGCAAUUCCUCUCUCUCUCUAGAUUGAAGUGGAGAGCUCGUGGAGGCCACAGUUGAGCUUGGAGCGACGUCAACUUCGCGCCGGCGAUCUGUUGGAGCGUGUGUGUGUCGUGGUAGUGCCGUUGGAGGCCGAGCGAGCAUGGAAAGUUCUUCUCCUAUCGACUUUUCACUGUUCUGGAUUAGCUUUUGAGGUGGGUUUAUUAUCGGAAUCCUACUCCUAUAAUAUUGUUCAUCGACAUGUUUCGUUAAUAUUACAAGUUGUUAUUGUUUAGCUCAAAUUCAUGAGUAGGUAUGUUUUAGACAUAUAAACUGAAUUGGGAGCAUGUUAUUAGUUGUUAUUAAUCAUACAUAUGGGACUUGGAUAAAACAUAGGAGAAAACCAGCGUUCGGAACCUGGCAUAUGUGGAAUUACCUGAUUUAGCCUUAGGGGCCGUUGUAUUUUUAUACAGUUGUUGUAUUCGGGUUGUGAGUACCCCAGGUAGUUUAGUUUACUGUUACACUCGUGCUGGGAUGCCGAGUUUAUUUUAUAGUCAUGUUUAGACUGUUCUGGACUAGUGGGUGCCGUCGUGGUUGACGGUGGACCCGGAUUUGAUCAUUUUGAGAUUUGAUUGUGCCGAGGGCACGUGGAUAGUGGUUAGUGGUUCAGUGAGACCUAUUGCUUGACUUAGCCUGUGAGGGCAGCCUGAGAUUGACAGUAAUCUCGUUGGGUCGCGCCCACGAGAGCCAUUCCGGAAUGAUGUUUCAGUGCGAUCGGUGUCGCAGUUUCUGUUAAAUAGUUAUGCGCCGGCCACUUGCGGGGUGGUGUACGGCAUAGCUGAUUACAGGCAGAGUGGGUCCGUUUGGACAGCUCAAAUGAGAUUUGUGGUGAAUCAGUUUGAAAUGCGAUUGGGUCAAGUGCAUAUUAGAUACAGUAGGAUAGUGUAGUGGCAUAUAGCUGUAGAUUUCUUUCCAGCUUUACUUUCCAGCCUUGUUUCCUACUGUAGUUUUAGUGGGUAAGCCGAUGAUGUUGAGGGCGGUACCCACUGAGGACUACUUGUUUUUACAGUAGUUCUCACGCCCAGUUGCUCCCUGUGUUUUGCAGAGCCUUCUGUUCCGGCGGCUGCAGCUUCUGAGACCGAUCGAGGGAAGGGUGUCGCGAGCUAGAGCCCAACCUGAUUAGUCGCCGUGCUAGAGGAUCCCCAGUUGCAGGUAGUAGAGUUUUAUUUUUCGAUUUUAUGUACAUACUGAUACUGAACUCGCUGGAGCGAGUGGUUUGUACUUUGUAUAGUAUGUGUACAUUUGAGAUGCUUUCUUUUUGGUUCUACCUGCUUAGUUCUUUACAGCUCUACGCUACUGUUUGUAGCAUUAUUUGUUUACAGAUACUGUGAUUGCUUCGUAUACAGAAAAAAUUUCUUGUAUACGGCGGAUCUAUUAGCGUGCCGGGAAAAGUGCUAUCCGGGGCGUGACAGAUUAAUUUGGUAUCAGAGCUUAGCUAUAGGUCGUUGGGACUUUGAAAACCUAAGUUUGGCAACAUUAGGAGGGCCCCAUACCAUGUAAAUUGUGAACUACAUCACACUCUUUGUUAUUCACCUACAAAAUUUAAUUAUUAGUAGUAUUCUAGCUUAGUUCUAAUAACAUAUAUACAUAUUAAUUGUUGAUUAUUCAUAUUUGUAUUCAAUUUUUCGGAUAUCCGAAUAAUUUUAAAUUCUUUGAAAACCAUAUCAGCAUCCGUAUUCAACUAGAUCCGGAUAUUAUUAAAUAUGCAUGUGGUAAGGUCGGAUAUUAUCUAAUUCAUUUUCGACGCUAGAGAUGCAAACGGAGUAGAUCUAGAGGCAGAAGAGUCCCCAUGUCCCGCUCUGCUUCUUGUCAAGUCGAGGUCGAUUUGAAGCGGUUUAACUUUAAUCCUAUUUUGGCGCCCACAUACCGUUCCAUUCGGGGCGAAUCAGGACGGAAACGAACUUUUGGUGGAUUUUACUUUUCACUUGUCUAUUGGUCUUUUUUGAUCCCGCAAAUUCCAACACGAGGCAAGACGAAAGAGUAUACUCCACUACUAGUCCCAAAAGAGACAAAAGAAGAAAGGAUAUAUUGCACUACUAGUCCUUCAAUUUUUAAAUUCGACUUUCAGAACUCUGAACUUUCAACGAUGUUUCAUUUUCAAUUCUGAACUUUCAGCGAUGUUUUAUUUCAGAUCUCUUUCUAAGAAUAAAACUUAUUGGUUGUACCAAUAGGCAAUAGGCAUCAUAGACACGGACACAAACACGAAGUAUGGAACACGGCACUACUUGGACACCAUGACUAAACAGUUCCAAAAAAUUAAAACACAGACACGAGAUAGACACCACUAUUAUUAAUAUAAUAAUAUAUAUUUAUUAUAUAGAAAAUAUUAACUUUGUUAAAAUAUUAUUAUAUUUCUGAAUAAAAGUUAAUAAAAUUCUCAUUAAUAUUUGAGAAAAAAAAUUCUCCUUUAUACAUAAUUUAUUUAUAUUGUCCACAAAAAUUUAUAUGCAUUCACCAAAAUGCCAAAAUAUCCAUAAACUUCCAACAACAUUUUGGUUUAGGUCUCCUACUAGAAUAAAAUUUUUGUUUGUACCUGCUUCAUCUAUGGCUAUGUUUGUUUCGUUAAAAGUAGAGCUAGGUAAAGCUAUUUUCACCGCAAAUAUCCAUUUUCACUGCUUCAUUUAUUGCUAUUUCACCUUCCGUCAAAACUCAAACUCCCCAAAAUAGCAUAAUUACUUCAUUCCACCUCAAGCCUAAGUCAAUUACAGAAAAAAAAAAAAAAAAAAAAGGUAAGAUAAAAGAAUAAAAAAAUAUUAAUUUAACUCUCACACCUCUAACAUUUAUAUCAUUAACUUCCUGCUAUACAAAUAACAAAAAUGGAAGAACUCCAGUUUCACAACUAUACAAACAGACACCAAAAAAUAUAAUAAUAAUUUUUACUUGAACUAUAAUUCACCCGUAAGUCUAGCUCAAUCUGAACUUCACCUUUGGUAAAACAAAUAAGCCCUAUAUGCCUGGAUGUCACGACUCUGUGACAUCCCAAUAGUCUCAUUUCGAAUAAGAAUAAGAUUGCGAUUAGACAUACCAGACAUCAUGAAGAUUAGUAAUAAUAAUUAAAUUUAAGUACUUUAAGCAAAUGGUUUGAGCCCAACAAGUAAUUAUUACUAGCAAGUCGAGUCAUUACAGACUCAAUGUUGUGCAGUUCAUCGAUUUUAUACUUCCAAUUUUCACUCAGCUUCUUUUACUA
Molecule: long non-coding RNA, 4474 nt
Filed under: Ananas comosus (pineapple)
Lineage: Eukaryota; Viridiplantae; Streptophyta; Magnoliopsida; Poales; Bromeliaceae
Description: long non-coding RNA (ACOM_LNC035078)
Source: RNAcentral